Molecule: RNase P RNA, 386 nt
Filed under: uncultured Acetatifactor sp.
Lineage: Bacteria; Bacillati; Bacillota; Clostridia; Lachnospirales; Lachnospiraceae
Description: Bacterial RNase P class A
Rfam family: Bacterial RNase P class A
About the family: Ribonuclease P (RNase P) is a ubiquitous endoribonuclease, found in archaea, bacteria and eukarya as well as chloroplasts and mitochondria. Its best characterised activity is the generation of mature 5'-ends of tRNAs by cleaving the 5'-leader elements of precursor-tRNAs.
Source: RNAcentral
GUAAGACAGACGGUUGCGGCUGAAGGUAAUUCCUUCAGGUGAGGAAAGUCCGGGCUUCACAGGGCAGGAUGCCGGAUAACGUCCGGUGGAGGCGACUCCAAGGCAAGUGCAACAGAAAUAUACCGCCAGCAGAUAUGCGAAGGAACUGCGCAGGCAUUUCUUUCGGGGGAGUUUAAGCUCCCUCUGGUAAGGGUGGAAAGGCAGCUUAAGAGACUACCGUCCCACUGGUAACAGUGGGAGCCAUGUAAACCCCAUCCGAAGCAAGACCAAACAGGAAGCAACAGAUUUGCCCGGUCUGCUUUCAGGUAGGUCGCUUGAUGCGGCUGGCAACAGCCGUACUAGAUAGAUAACCGUUCAACGACAUAACCCGGCUUAUCGUUUUGCUU